RNAcentral lists this ribosomal RNA (291 nucleotides) under uncultured bacterium. Its description in RNAcentral is "partial 16S ribosomal RNA". It matches the Rfam family "Bacterial small subunit ribosomal RNA", at positions 773 to 1060 of the family's 1533-position model. The record is from RNAcentral.
GUGGAUUAGAUACCCUGGUAGUCCACGCCCUAAACGAUGAUGACUAGUUGUUGGGGGAGUUAAAUCCCUUAGUAACGCAGCUAACGCGUGAAGUCAUCCGCCUGGGGAGUACGGUCGCAAGAUUAAAACUCAAAGGAAUUGACGGGGGCCCGCACAAGCGGUGGAUGAUGUGGUUUAAUUCGACGCAACGCGAAAAACCUUACCUACCCUUGACAUGUGAGGAACCCUGCAGAGAUGCAGGGGUGCCCGAAAGGGAACCUCAACACAGGUGCUGCACGGCCGUCGACAACU